AUCUGCAGCCCUGGGAGCCACCAAGGUGCACUCAGUGGCCUUCUAGGCUUCGGUUCCUGCUCCGCGCCCCGCAGAAACCGCGGCUGGCUGGCCAGGGGCUCUUCCAACUUCCAGCGGGAGCAGGUGCACAGCAAAACAAAGAAUAAAGAUUAUGAAGAAAGAGAAGAACUUCCCAGGCCCAAGCAGCUGUCGGCUCCUGCGCUCCCAACGGGGUGGCCGUUUCCUUCCUCGCACCCUCUUCUCUCCCGGUGCCUGCGGUCCCACCUUCCAGAUACCCCUCGGAGAGUCCAGCUGAGCUCUCGCCAGAGCUUUCCCCUUCCAACCCGCUCGACUUGCCCAGAUCCCAAGCUGGGCUUCUCUCUCCAUCGCCCCAGAAAGUGGGUCUUGGAGACCGAGGCAAGAAUUUGGGCCUCCGCUUCUGUUCCAGACCCCGGACCCCUUGCCAAAAUGCGGCAGAUGUGCAGAUUGGGCCGCGCUUGGUUCCUGGCUGGGUUUAUGGAGCCUGCGGCUGAGGCAGGCUCCGCAGACCCCGAGCCAGAGUGGGAUUUAACGGCGGCCGGUGCGCUGUGCUUGGUCAACCCCGGUAACCGUCACGCUGCUAGUGAUAUGAAAAAAACCUGCCAGCGUUCUGCUUUUCUGCCCCGCUGCAGUCUUUAGCACCCGCCAGGAUUCUGUCCGAGUGUUUGGAUUUUGUAAUCCUCCUGUCUUUGGCCAACUCCCCAUCCUUGGCGGAGCGCUCGCCCUUGGCCGGGCUCCGUGCUGCCAGCCUUGCGGAACCCUAGGCCCGGGCGGCUCUGUCGGAGGCCCACUUCUCACUGAUGCGGAGUGGCCCGAGGGUGGGAGCAGCGGUUAAUGCCGCACUGAUUAAUACAGGCUCCAGUGAAAGCGAAAGUAAGAAAAUAAAACGGAUUUCAUUAUACAUAUACAAUGUGUGUAUGGAUACAUGUACAUACAUAUUACACUUAUGUGUAUGUUACGCACGUUUGUUAAAAUGAGGUCAUAAUGUUCAUGCUGUUUCAUAACCCACUUUCUUUCAAUGACCACCUUUUCAUUUCAGUAAAUCUUCGUAUUCUCA
Homo sapiens (human) is the source of this 1075-nucleotide long non-coding RNA. RefSeq lists it as uncharacterized. The transcript has 2 exons. Lineage: Eukaryota; Metazoa; Chordata; Mammalia; Primates; Hominidae. The record is from RefSeq and is marked validated.